RNAcentral lists this long non-coding RNA (420 nucleotides) under Medicago truncatula (barrel medic). RNAcentral describes it as "long non-coding RNA (MTRU_LNC001659)". Lineage: Eukaryota; Viridiplantae; Streptophyta; Magnoliopsida; Fabales; Fabaceae. The record is from RNAcentral.
GAAGUAGUAUUUUAGAUGAUUAUUUACGGCACGUUUGUUACUUCUUUCACAAGUUAUCUAGGGAAAAGCCGAGAGAAAAGUGAAUUUUGACCUAUUACGCUUUUGUCAUCUUACUCUACCCAUUUGAGUGCAGGAAUUGAGAAAAAGUCAGCUCGUCAUAGCGAGCCAAAUGGCGAGCAACUCCAGAGAGUUCCAGGUUCCUUCGCCACAAAGAUGGCCAUCGCGAACUAUCUCGCCUGGCGAAGCAAUGAUGAGCAGUUCCAGAGAGUUGGAAAAACAUGACAAGAGCAAUUCGCCAUGGCGAGAAAUAUUCCUGCCAGGCGAAAUAAGGCGGUUUCAUCUGAUUCUUGUGAUGUGGCAGAAACCCACUAGCAAAGAAAGCUCAAGUCGCGAGACAAAAUCCGCCAGGCGAAAUUAUGU